UUUCAAACAUGGCUUCUAACCGGAAAGUUCCACGAGCCGGACUUUGGUCGAACCUCUCACCGGAAACGCUCUGCAACAUCGGAAAAUGCCUUGAAAGCUGAAUUGACGUUUUCCGAUGUCGUUCCGUUUGCCGUAAUUGGCGAGCUUCAAUAAACCCUAAACCUAACCCUAGCUAUUUAUCCCCCUUUCUUCCUCGCAAAAUCUCAAAUUCCACUCUUCCAUUCAUCAAUCGCUCUAAUGAAACCCUAAUUCUCUUCGCCCGAAUUGUAUUUCUUGUUCAACCGAUUUCCUAUUCAAGUGACCGCAGCAGUUGGAUUUUAACUGUGGAGGAAGUUGUACCAGGUAAGCUUCGAAUCAUAAACCCGCUUUCUAAGGAUCCUGUUAAGAAUUUACCUUCGAAUUUCCCCAAAUAUCUGAACUUAUUGGAUUUUAGAGUGACUGAAAUUGCUAAAAGUUAUGGGUUUAAGUAUGCAAGUGAUUGGAAUGAUGUAAAUGAUGUUCAUGUGGUUUUGUGUUCUGAUUCGACUGCUAUGGUGUUGUAUGGUGAAGGGACUCUAAUUGGGGUGAGGUUGAGAAAUGGGAAUUGGGGAUUUGUUUGCGAAAGUUUGAUUACUAGAUUUUCUGAUGUGAUUAGUUUUAAGGGAAGUGUUUGUGCUGUUGAUUUCAAAGGGAAUUUGCAUUCUGUUGAUUACAAAACAUUGAAGGUUAAUAAGACGGUUACUGUGAAAUUGCCCGGUCCUGAUUCAUGGAAUCGGAAAAGAUUGGUGGCAAAUGAGGGGAAACUCUGGUUAGUAACUUAAUAGGUCUUGUAAUGGUGAUGAUGAAAAGAAUUCUAUGUUGGAAAAGAAUCAAUUUAAGGUAUACCGUGUGGGCGAGUUGCAUAAAGAAUCGGUGAUGGAAACAAGUUUGCGAGGUUGGUCACUUUUUGUUAGUCUACAUUGGUGCUUUAUUGUCUGUGCUCAAGAUCUUAAUAUACGGGAGUAUCUAUUUCGAGGAGAGCCAGCAGUGAAUGUGUUCUCUUAUAAGCCGAAAUACUCUUAUUUUCUGAAAUGAGCUGAAAUGGUAUGAAAUGAAUGGGGAUUACCUUGUUUUCUCACAAAAUUGCUUUGAAUCCUCUGCUGCGCCUCUGCUGCACAGUCUCCAGGUGUUUAAAGAAGCAAGUGUAAAUCUUCCUAUUGGUGUUUUCUAUUUUAGAAUGGAGGAUACAGAUAGGAUCGAAUCAGUUUGUGGUACCAUUGCUGGAGCGCUAUGGCCACCCCCUACCUGGUUCUUGCCAGAUUUGUACACUUCAAGGAUCAUGAGGAGAAUGAAGGAUCGGAUUCCUGGGUCCUAGAUGUUUCAACUGACGACAUCAAGGGAGAAUUGCUCACGUCUUUGACUGUUGCCCCUUUUACUGAUGCUGGAAAUAGUAACAAACAAGACCAAAUGCUACGGGUAUAAAUUUGCAUACAGCUCUUGGGGAUUUCCAUGCUUUGAGAAUAUAGUACAAAUGUGAUCUUAUCAACAUGAGCUAUGGUGAAGCUUCCUACCUUUUGUCUGGUUUUCUAUGUCAAGGGAGUACAAUUGGCAGUAAUGACAUGAUAGUUAGGGCCUUAGAGUCAAUAGCAACAGUAGUGAUUAUCCUCCAAAGUGGCUCAGGACAAUUGUUGAAUGAAUCCAAGCUGAGUUCUUGAGCUCUACAUUUUCUGACUUUUAAAACAUGCAUUUUGAAUUGGUGGUUGGUACCGUUUGUUGAAAAGGCUUUGGUUGUUCAUAAGAGCUCUCUGAAGGAAUUUGAUUAGGCCUAAACACUAGCUGAGGAAUGAAACUGAUGGUUCUUGCUGAAUUACCCAAACUGGAUGAAGUAAAGAAAGACAUGAAAUCUGUUUUUGUAAUCUGAUGGUCCUAGUUUGGACUCUGUUGAUCUUAGCCUAAGUUUUAUUUUUGAAACAUUUAGGAGAGGGAUAUGUUAACUUAUUGGUGACUUGAUCUGUAAUCUUGAAUGUUGGAGUUAUGAGGAAAUUGUUACUUUUAUGUA
This is a long non-coding RNA of Chenopodium quinoa (quinoa), 2017 nucleotides long. RefSeq lists it as uncharacterized. The record is from RefSeq and is a predicted model, not a curated record. Lineage: Eukaryota; Viridiplantae; Streptophyta; Magnoliopsida; Caryophyllales; Amaranthaceae. The transcript is spliced from 4 exons.